AACGAACGCUGGCGGCAGGCCUAACACAUGCAAGUCGAGCGAGGACUUCGGUCCUAGCGGCGGACGGGUGAGUAACGCGUGGGAACGUGCCCUUGGCUUCGGAAUAGCCCUGGGAAACUGGGAGUAAUACAGGAUGAGACAUUUGGGGGAAAGACUGAUCGGCGAAGGAUCGGCCCGCGUUGGAUUAGGUAGUUGGUGGGGUAAUGGCCUACCAAGCCGACGAUCCAUAGCUGGUUUGAGAGGAUGAUCAGCCACACUGGGACUGAGACACGGCCCAGACUCCUACGGGAGGCAGCAGUGCGGAAUCUUAGACAAUGGGGGAAACCCUGAUCUAGCCAUGCCGCGUGAGCGAUGAAGGCCUUAGGGUUGUAAAGCUCUUUCAGCUGGGAAGAUAAUGACGGUACCAGCAGAAGAAGCCCCGGCUAACUCCGUG
This 433-nucleotide ribosomal RNA is filed under the name uncultured bacterium. RNAcentral describes it as "partial 16S ribosomal RNA". It matches the Rfam family "Bacterial small subunit ribosomal RNA", at positions 29 to 507 of the family's 1533-position model. The record is from RNAcentral.